This 460-nucleotide ribosomal RNA is filed under the name uncultured bacterium. RNAcentral describes it as "partial 16S ribosomal RNA". It matches the Rfam family "Bacterial small subunit ribosomal RNA", at positions 338 to 795 of the family's 1533-position model. The record is from RNAcentral.
CCUACGGGAGGCAGCAGUGAGGAAUAUUGGUCAAUGGACGAGAGUCUGAACCAGCCAAGUAGCGUGAAGGAUGACUGCCCUAUGGGUUGUAAACUUCUUUUAUAAAGGAAUAAAACGAGGCACGUGUGCCUUUUUGCAUGUACUUUAUGAAUAAGGAUCGGCUAACUCCGUGCCAGCAGCCGCGGUAAUACGGAGGAUCCGAGCGUUAUCCGGAUUUAUUGGGUUUAAAGGGAGCGUAGAUGGGUUGUUAAGUCAGUUGUGAAAGUUUGCGGCUCAACAGUAAAAUUGCAAUUGAUACUGGCAGUCGUGAGUACAGUUGAGGUAGGCGGAAUUCGUGGUGUAGCGGUGAAAUGCUUAGAUAUCACGAAGAACCCCGAUUGCGAAGGCAGCUUACUAAACUGUGACUGACAUUGAUGCUCGAAAGUGUGGGUAUCAAACAGGAUUAGAUACCCGGGUAGUC